RNAcentral lists this ribosomal RNA (462 nucleotides) under uncultured bacterium. RNAcentral describes it as "partial 16S ribosomal RNA". It matches the Rfam family "Bacterial small subunit ribosomal RNA", at positions 338 to 795 of the family's 1533-position model. The record is from RNAcentral.
CCUACGGGAGACAGCAGUGAGGAAUAUUGGUCAAUGGACGCAAGUCUGAUCCAGCCAAGUAGCGUGCAGGAUGACGGCCCUCCGGGUUGUAAACUGCUUUGAGUUGGGAAUAACAGGGGGCUCGUGAGCCCCGUAUUGUAUGUAACAUAAGAAACCGGACCGGCUAAUUCCGUGCCGGCAGCCGCGGUAAUACGGAAGGUCCGGGCGUUAUCCGGAUUUAUUGGGUUUAAAGGGAGCGUAGGCCGGCUUUUAAGUCAGCAGUGAAAGUCCGCGGCCCAACCGUGGACUUGCAGUUGAAACUGGAUGCCUUGAGUGCACGCAGGGAUGCCGGAAUUCAUGGUGUAGCGGUGAAAUGCGUAGAUAUCAUGAAGAACACCGAUCGCGAAGGCAAGUGUCCGGGGUGCAACUGACGCUGAGGCUCGAAAGUGCGGGUAUCAAACAGGAUUAGAUACCCUGGUAGUC